CAAUGCAGAUCGGUCCUGACCAGAUUGAAGCUCUGUAUCAGUAUGCCAAAUUUCAGUUUGAGUGUGGUAACUACUCAGGGGCUGCUGAUUACCUUUACCAGUAUGGUGCUUUGUGCACAAACAGUGAGCGAAAUGUGAGUGCCCUCUGGGGAAAGCUGGCAGCAGAAAUCCUAAUGCAAAACUGGGACCUAGCUUUGGAGGAACUCAACCGCUUGAAGGAAAUAAUUGAUUCAAAGAACUUCUCAUCACCUCUGAAUCAGCUCCAGAACAGGAUAUGGCUGAUGCAUUGGGCUCUGUUCAUCUUCUUUAACCAUAUCAGGUACUUGAAUGCUAUACCGACAAAUGCACACCAUCUUAUUAGGUAUCUAGCUACUGCAGUUGUUGUCAACAAAAGGAGAAGGAAUAUGCUUAAAGAGUUGAUUAAGGUCAUUCAACAGGAGCACCAUACCUACAAGGAUCCCAUAACUGAAUUUCUGGAAUGCUUAUAUGUUAACUAUGUAGUUGUGGGCUUUUGAACAAUAGCUAGAGUGAUAUGAAACAUUAGUGAUGUAGUUGUGGGCUUUUGAACUGCUUCAAGCUGGAGUGAUGUCGUUGUGGUGCUUUUGUGACUGAUCA
Zea mays is the source of this 615-nucleotide RNA transcript. It is a transcript of the gene named eukaryotic translation initiation factor 3 subunit pseudogene, with no coding region annotated. Lineage: Eukaryota; Viridiplantae; Streptophyta; Magnoliopsida; Poales; Poaceae. The transcript has 3 exons. The record is from RefSeq and is marked validated.